Molecule: ribosomal RNA, 253 nt
Filed under: uncultured bacterium
Lineage: Bacteria
Description: partial 16S ribosomal RNA
Rfam family: Bacterial small subunit ribosomal RNA
Source: RNAcentral
UACAGAGGGUGCGAGCGUUGUCCGGAAUCACUGGGCGUAAAGGGCGCGUAGGCGGCAUGACAAGUCACUUGUGAAAUCUCCGGGCUUAACUCGGAACGGUCAAGUGAUACUGUCGCGCUAGAGUGCGGAAGGGGCAAUCAGAAUUCUUGGUGUAGCGGUGAAAUGCGUAGAUAUCAAGAGGAAUACCUGAGGUGAAGACGGGUUGCUAGGCCGACACUGACGCUGAAGCGCGAAAGCCAGGGGAGCAAACGGG